CAGUUAGCAAGUAUUCAACGUAGGUGAUGGGUUUCUUAGCCUCUCCACUUUUCUGAACUUUCCAAGUGUCAAGGAUGAGGCAGCAGGCGGAUGCACUCGCUGUCUUCUCAGCAGCUUUCCUGCCUGAAACCCAGCGGAGAGCUGGGCGGCUAUUGUUUCAAAUUACACUUUCUGUGACAGAGGUCAUCCGCCUGACCUAGGCCUUCUCCGAAAACAAAACACCUUGUCAUUUCCAUAUGAAGAAAGUUGAAAGAAGGAUACGGCGAACACCUGCAUAUUGUUCUAUGAGUAAGCUGCGGGUGUCAUGACAUUCACCCCUCAACGUCAGGAGUGAGGAGGGCCUCCGUGAGGGACUGCAUGGCACCGUCUUUGCUCACUGGUGCUAGCAGGGCUGAGGAGACAGUGAUGGAGGGAGCACGGCAUCUGUUGGUGGAGCACGCAGUCUGGAUGUGUGGAUGGACACCUGAACAAGCUCUGUUUUAUUCAGCGUGAAAAGUACUGUAAUAAUAGCGAGCUGCGCAUAGUAGAAACACCGCUGAGGGAGGACUGAGCCAGGGGGCGAGAUUGAGCGGGGCCUGAAGGAAGUGAAGGAGCCUGUCAAGCAGAGACCAGGGCUGCGGCAGGAGCUUCUCACGCGGG
Long non-coding RNA from Myotis brandtii (Brandt's bat), 639 nucleotides. RefSeq lists it as uncharacterized. Lineage: Eukaryota; Metazoa; Chordata; Mammalia; Chiroptera; Vespertilionidae. The record is from RefSeq and is a predicted model, not a curated record. The transcript is spliced from 3 exons.